UAGGUCCCAGGAGCGCCAAGGUAGUGCCGU
This 30-nucleotide non-coding RNA is filed under the name Homo sapiens (human). Lineage: Eukaryota; Metazoa; Chordata; Mammalia; Primates; Hominidae. The record is from RNAcentral.